UACGAAGGGUGCAACCGUUGCUCGGAAUUAUUGGGCGUAAAGCGCACGUAGGCGGCUUGGCAAGUCGGAUGUGAAAUCCCUCGGCUCAACCAAGGAAGUGCAUCCGAAACUGCUAAGCUUGAGUACUUAAGAGGAUCGCGGAAUUCCCGGUGUAGAGGUGAAAUUCGUAGAUAUCGGGAGGAACACCAGUGGCGAAGGCGGCGAUCUGGGAAGAUACUGACGCUGAGGUGCGAAAGCGUGGGGAGCAAACAGG
RNAcentral lists this ribosomal RNA (253 nucleotides) under uncultured bacterium. RNAcentral's name for it is "partial 16S ribosomal RNA". It matches the Rfam family "Bacterial small subunit ribosomal RNA", at positions 524 to 776 of the family's 1533-position model. The record is from RNAcentral.